AGAAAACAAAACACUUAAAAUCAAAACAAUAAAACUGAUGGACGAACCAACACCACCUAGUUGGUGAUGUGGAGCUCUAACCAGGAAUGGCUGAAUAUAUGCAAAGUCAAAAGUUUAUGUAAUGUUCAGUUAAUGUGUCGAACAAACGAUUCAAGGGAGCUAACCAACACUCCAUUAUAAUUCCAUCGUCUAUAGUCACGUUUUUAAGUUCGGCAUUGUUACAUUCGGAAAUGAUUAUAGGGACCUUUUCGCAUCGGAACUGUGGAACUGGAUUUACGUAGAUUCAAAGGCACGCCCUUGACCGAUUUAUGGUUACAGUUGUGAAAUCCGGGGGUAAAAAAAGCCAGCAGGGCGCCAAUGUACCCCAUUGCCCCAACACAGAGUAUUGCUGAUGCUAAAAAAUAUACGGAUUCUAAACCAUCAUCGGCAUGGUGUUCAAGGGAAAACGUUGUUUCCGUUUAAUGUGACUGAUGCUAUUAAACGGGUCUAAAGAACAUCAAAUUGGGCAAGAUAUGACCAAUAAUACACCAAAGAAAAGGAUGAAUGAGUGCAACCUUAUUAUUUCAGGACCAUCAAAUUAAGCAAGUUAUGUCCAAUAAUACACCAAUAAAUACAGGAUGAAUGAGUGCAACUGUAGUGAUAUGGAAACCCACGCCAGAAUGGGAAUGCAACUGUAGUGAUGUGGAAACCCACGCUAGAAUGGGAGUAACUUUUAAAAGGUGGACAAUUUUCUAAAAAUAAAAAAAUAAAAUCUAAAAUUUAAUUCUUUCAAAAGGACAAAUCCAGCUGAUUUCAACUAAUAACAGAUACAGACCAUGUAUAUUCCU
Molecule: long non-coding RNA, 827 nt
Organism: Patella vulgata (common limpet)
Lineage: Eukaryota; Metazoa; Mollusca; Gastropoda; Patellidae
Exons: 3
Source: RefSeq, a predicted model, not a curated record